GACGAACGCUGGCGGCGUGCUUAACACAUGCAAGUCGAACGGAAAGGCCCUGCUUUUGUGCGGUGCUCGAGUGGCGAACGGGUGAGUAACACGUGAGUAACCUGCCCUUGACUUUGGGAGAACUUCAGGAAACUGGGGCUAAUACCGGAUAGGAUCUCCUGCUGCAGGGUGGGGGUUGGAAAGUUUCGGCGGUUGGGGGUGGACUCGCGGCUUAUGAGCUUGUUGGUGGGGUAGUGUCUUACCAAGGCCUUGCAGGGUAGCCGGGCUGGGCGGGUGACCGGCCACAUUGGGCCUGGGCUACGGCCCGGCCUCCUCCGCGACGCAGCGGUGGAGAAUAUUGCACAAGGGGCGGAAGCCUGAUGCGGCCACGCAGCGUGCGGGAUGACGGCCUGCGGGUUGUAAACCGCUUCCGCCUGUGACGAAGCGUGAGUGACGGUACCGGGUAAAGAAGCACCGGCUAACUACGUG
Molecule: ribosomal RNA, 468 nt
Filed under: uncultured bacterium
Lineage: Bacteria
Description: partial 16S ribosomal RNA
Rfam family: Bacterial small subunit ribosomal RNA
Source: RNAcentral